Long non-coding RNA from Lycium barbarum (goji berry), 347 nucleotides. RefSeq lists it as uncharacterized. The transcript is spliced from 2 exons. NCBI's taxonomy places the organism in Eukaryota, Viridiplantae, Streptophyta, Magnoliopsida, Solanales, Solanaceae. The record is from RefSeq and is a predicted model, not a curated record.
CUAUUUCAUCAGUGUUUGUCUUUGUGCAGCUCCUUUCACUUUGAUGUUUAAUUUUUGAAGUGUAUAUAAUUAUAUUUGCCGAAUUGAACUUUCUCUAGGAUUUGAGGAUCUCAAUUUACAAGUCAAAGAUGAAGCCUUCUAAUAAGUUGAUAAUUUUGUUACCGUAUUGCCAGGACAGUUAGGCAAAACAUCAUAGUAUUUUCUAGGAUGUUAAGUUCUUCUUUCUCAAGGAUUGUGUUAUUGUUAUUUAUAUAUCCUGGCUUUACAAUGCUACAAAUGGGAUGUUAACCCCCUUCUUUGUAAUUCAUUACAAUGUUAUAUACAAGAGAGCAUGUUAUUAUUCAUUA